AUAUAAGAGCUCGUCCUGCGGGCGUCCGGCACUCGAGAGAGACAUCUGCUGAGAGAAGAUUCAGUUAUCUGAAAGCACGCCAUCCACCAUGUCAUACUCCGGACGCACCAGGGACGCUCGCUUCAACGUGUCUAAUGUGUGCAAGGACAAGGCCGAUAUGAAGGCCGAGGAACUGUGUGACGAGAAGAAGGACCAGGAAGUCCAAGACGCGACCGAGGGUGACACAACCUCCGUUGGCGUCGAGGGCAACGAGGGGGACACUGAGACCUCCUCGCUGCAUUCGAGUAAUUAGGAUCCGACUGCACUCUGCGGACGUCAGGAUUUUACACAUUUUCUCACCACCUCAACCAGGGGCCAAAAACAGAUUAGACUCUUCACCACACCUUAGUUUUAUCAAGAAGUAAUAAGAGUCCUUCUCCAAACCUCUACUUACGUCAUGGUGUACAAGUGAUCUUUCGCUCACUACACUCUACGUCGAAAAUUGAAUUGGAUCUGUCACUCGCCACGCUCAGGAGUGAAUAGUAUUAAUUCUCACCUCAAACUACCGAUGGCCAUAUGUAGGUUAGGAUCUGUCUCUCAUUGCAUGCCCAGGAAACAGAGAGAAUCAUUUUAUUUGAGGGUAUGCGUGCCCAAAAGUGAUCCCAGGCCAAUUUUCGACUAUACGUUUAUCAAAUGUUUUUUUCCAAUUUAAACCUUUGUCUAUGGAAUGGACAUCGAUAUAUUCAUGUUAAUGCACUCUAUCUCAUGAUUGUAGUGCAAUAAAAUGAAGAUACUGAUGUUCAUGUCUGUAGAUAAAAGCUUGAAUUUAAAAAUAUUCGAUAAACCCCAUUGGUCUGAUAACACCUUUGGACCCGUACGAAUUAACAACAGAUAUCGAUGUGUAUAGGCGAAAGCUUCUCUUAACAAAACAUCUAAUAAAAGCGAUUGAUUUGAAACCACACUUGGACGCGCAUACCUUCAUUCGCUCUUCAUCGUCUCGACUGUAAGCACAACGGCACAGAUGUGGACACUAAUAAAACAAAAGAUUAA
Molecule: long non-coding RNA, 1029 nt
Organism: Penaeus vannamei (Pacific white shrimp)
Lineage: Eukaryota; Metazoa; Arthropoda; Malacostraca; Decapoda; Penaeidae
Source: RefSeq, a predicted model, not a curated record